AGUGAACGCUGGCGGUAGGCCUAACACAUGCAAGUCGAACGGCAGCACAGUAAGAGCUUGCUCUUACGGGUGGCGAGUGGCGGACGGGUGAGGAAUACAUCGGAAUCUACUUUUUCGUGGGGGAUAACGUAGGGAAACUUGCGCUAAUACCGCAUACGACCUACGGGUGAAAGCAGGGGAUCUUCGGACCUUGCGCGAUUGAAUGAGCCGAUGUCGGAUUAGCUAGUUGGCGGGGUAAAGGCCCACCAAGGCGACGAUCCGUAGCUGGUCUGAGAGGAUGAUCAGCCACACUGGAACUGAGACACGGUCCAGACUCCUACGGGAGGCAGCAGCGGGGAAUAUUGGACAAUGGGCGCAAGCCUGAUCCAGCCAUACCGCGUGGGUGAAGAAGGCCUUCGGGUUGUAAAGCCCUUUUGUUGGGAAAGAAAAGCAGCAGGUUAAUACCCCGCUGUUCUGACGGUACCCAAAGAAUAAGCACCGGCUAACUUCGUG
Molecule: ribosomal RNA, 492 nt
Filed under: uncultured bacterium
Lineage: Bacteria
Description: partial 16S ribosomal RNA
Rfam family: Bacterial small subunit ribosomal RNA
Source: RNAcentral